RNAcentral lists this unclassified non-coding RNA (270 nucleotides) under Hevea brasiliensis (rubber tree). Lineage: Eukaryota; Viridiplantae; Streptophyta; Magnoliopsida; Malpighiales; Euphorbiaceae. The record is from RNAcentral.
AUUUGCAACAUAUUGACUAAUCAGAACUAUAGCAACAUCUUCUUUCGUCGUAAACUCUUUGAAUGCAUCCUCAAUUGCUUUAACAGUUGUUUUUGAGUCCACAAUAAGGUAGUUUGUCUUUCUUCGGAGAUCCACGUUGCCAACUCCAGCCAUCAAAAAUCCAGUCACGGUAUCCUCGUCGGCGAUCAUCGCUAUGAGAGCGGAGUUAUUGGUCUGAAUCUGAGUUCUUCCGGCCAUCCUUGAGCGCCUGUGAAGGGGACGAGGAGAUCG